Molecule: RNA transcript, 642 nt
Organism: Brassica rapa (field mustard)
Lineage: Eukaryota; Viridiplantae; Streptophyta; Magnoliopsida; Brassicales; Brassicaceae
Source: RefSeq, a predicted model, not a curated record
ACAAGAGCAAGCCAAGAAAAACAAGUGUGAAGGAAGGUAUGGAGAUGAUAAACGAAUAAGCCGAAAGUCUAAAAAAUACAAGAAUAUUACACCUGCCACUGCCGCCACUACAAUAGCUUUAUUAGAUGACAGCUUAUAUAAAGAGAAGUAUACUCACAACAUAAUGUUUUAUCUUAUUAUAACCAAGCCAAGAAUUAUAUUCCCCAAUCACUCCAUCACAAUCCCCUUGUCUGUGUUUCCACUUGAACUGAAAGAGUGAAGCUUCCUCGGUAAGAAAAGAUGCAGAAGGACAUGAGAACCCCAGAAGAUCAACAUCUUCCACCAGAAGAAGUCUUUGAACAACCGGGACAAGACAAGAAUAAGAAGAAGCCAUUCGAGACAAAGCAGAAAGGAGACAGAGGCUUCAUUGAAGGAUGUCUCUUUGCACUAUGCUGCUGCUGGAUUUGUGAGAUGUGUUUCUAAGACAAAAAAAGAUGAAUACAGUGUGUCAAGCUUCCUUAUGUUAUCUAUUACUAUUAGUGGCUUUUAAUAUAGCAGCUCAAUCUGAACUUUCUUGUACUAUCUGUGUGGUGUUUGUAUGUAUUAAACAGAGAUUAUUAUUAUGCUUAAUAAUGUAAAGGUCAUGAUCAUAUUUUCUGACGA